AGUUCAGUACUCCUUUUAAAAGGUACCUCUAAGUGAAGGGUAAUUGCUUUACAGUACUGUGUUGGUUUACGCCAUACAUCAACAUUCAUCAGCCAUAAGUGUACACACGUCCCCUCCUUCUUGAACCUCCCAUCCCACAUUUCUCAUUUUUAUGUCCAUUUUUGUCGUGUGGCCAAAGCUAAUAGGUCAGAUGAUUCAUUUCAGAUAGAGAACUUGGUCUUCUUGCCAUGUAUUGGAAAAAAAAAAAGUGUGAAAUUUUUUUUAAGAUUAGGGUUGGGAGGAUAACUGACUUUGGCAUACUGAGACUGUAUUCGGGUUCUCAGACUCCUGCUUGGGAUGUCUGCACGUUGGGACGCUCUUGGUGUUGGGGAGGAGCAGAGUAGAUGAUCGCAUUUUCUUAACCACAGAUCUCCUCCCCUAGACUUGUUUCCUCGGGUAAAAACAUACCUCAGGUGAUUUCUAGUACAAAGAACAAGAAAGCCCUAGGAAGACAGCCUGUUCCAUUCUUCAUCACCCCUCGUGACAUCGGCACGUGGCCUGUGUGUCCCCCGAGAACCGUCAUGUGGGUAUCACCUGGGCUGUCACCCUCUACUAGUCAUGUCUGCCUGCCCCUGUGCGUAAAGCACCCAUCAUACUUUGUAGAAGAUUCGCUCAGACGGACUUUUAGAAUAACUAUAUCUAAUUUUAGAAGAAAAUUCUGUGAAUGAUGAAUUGACUUGGGAAUUCUGGGGAUGAAGAUUUAACUUCUUUGAUGUUGAGUCAUCUUAUCUGAGAGCCUGUAUGCAAUAAGGGCUUCCCUGGUGGCUCAGAUGGUAAAGAAUCUACCUGCAAUGUAAGAGACCCAGGUUUGAUCCCUGGGUUGGGAAGAUCCCCUGGAGAAGGAAAUGGAAGCCCACUCUAGUAUUCUUGCCUGGACAAUUCUAUACACACCGGAACCUGGCUGGCUACCGUCCAUGGGGUCACAAAGAAUUGGACAUGACUGAGCAACAAACACACAGUAUGCAAUAAAAUCAUCUGCAAACAGGGAUGUUUUCUAUUUUCCUUCUAGUGAUUAUCUUUUUGUUGUUCUCUCAUCUCAUGAGAUGCUGAAACUGAAGCUCCAAUACUUGGACCACCUGAUGCCAAAGCCAACUCAUUGGAAAAGACCCUGAUGCUGGGAAAGAUUGAAGGUGGAAGGAGAAGGGGAUGACAGAGGACGAGAUGGUUGGAUGGCACCACCGACUCAAUGGACAUGAGUUUGAGGAAGCUCUGGGAGGUGGUGAAGGACAGGGAAGCCUGGCGUGCUGCAGUCCAAGGGGUCGCAAAGAGUCAGACACGACUGAGCGACUGAACAACAACCACAUCAAAUGAUGUUGACCAAUCAUUCCAGUGCAGUUACUAUCUUACUCCUGACUUCAGUGAGAAUGCCUCCAGUGUUGCCUCCUUAAGUAAACAUUCUUUCUCUUUUUGCCUUAAACUUGACUUCCUUUAUAAUUAGUGCAAUUGUACCAGUCAUCUCUGGAUUAGUGUUUGCAUCAUAUAUCUUCUACUCUCCUUUUAAUUUCAGCCCUUCUGUAUCUUUUUGUUUUCUAUGUACCUUUUGUCAACAGCGUAUAGUCAGCCUGGACAUAUUUUUAUCUAGUUUGAAAAUCUUUUUGUUUUUAAUUGGAGCUUCAAUCCACUUUGAUUUAAUGUAAGUGCUGACAUAUUCGGAAUUAUAUAUUAUUUGGAAUUGCAUUACAUUAUCUAUUCUUUCUUCUCCCAGUGAUUUCUAUCUACAUGUGAUUUUCUUCUUCAUUUGGAUUGAUUGCAUAUUUUAAAAUUAUUAUUCUAUUUUCUCCAUCA
This is a long non-coding RNA of Dama dama (fallow deer), 1824 nucleotides long. RefSeq lists it as uncharacterized. The record is from RefSeq and is a predicted model, not a curated record. NCBI's taxonomy places the organism in Eukaryota, Metazoa, Chordata, Mammalia, Artiodactyla, Cervidae. The transcript is spliced from 3 exons.